CAGUCGCCGCGGUAAUACAGAGGGUGCGAGCGUUAAUCGGAUUUACUGGGCGUAAAGCGUGCGUAGGCGGCUUCUUAAGUCGGAUGUGAAAUCCCUGAGCUUAACUUAGGAAUUGCAUUCGAUACUGGGAAGCUAGAGUAUGGGAGAGGAUGGUAGAAUUCCAGGUGUAGCGGUGAAAUGCGUAGAGAUCUGGAGGAAUACCGAUGGCGAAGGCAGCCAUCUGGCCUAAUACUGACGCUGAGGUACGAAAGCAUGGGGAGCAAACAGGAUUAGAUACACCAGUAGUCCCUGUCUCUUAUAC
This 301-nucleotide ribosomal RNA is filed under the name uncultured bacterium. Its description in RNAcentral is "partial 16S ribosomal RNA". It matches the Rfam family "Bacterial small subunit ribosomal RNA", at positions 509 to 807 of the family's 1533-position model. The record is from RNAcentral.